This 491-nucleotide ribosomal RNA is filed under the name uncultured bacterium. RNAcentral's name for it is "bacterial SSU rRNA". It matches the Rfam family "Bacterial small subunit ribosomal RNA", at positions 57 to 504 of the family's 1533-position model. The record is from RNAcentral.
GCAAGUCGAAACGCUUUGUCUUUAACUGAUAUGAAGAGCUUGCUCUGAUUUGAUUUUAUCUGACAAAGAGUGGCGAACGGGUGAGUAACACGUGGGUAACCUACCUCUUAGCAGGGGAUAACAUUUGGAAACAAGUGCUAAUACCGUAUAAUACCAACAACCGCAUGGUUGUUGGUUGAAAGGUGGUUCUGCUAUCACUAAGAGAUGGACCCGCGGUGCAUUAGCUAGUUGGUAAGGUAACGGCUUACCAAGGCAAUGAUGCAUAGCCGAGUUGAGAGACUGAUCGGCCACAAUGGGACUGAGACACGGCCCAUACUCCUACGGGAGGCAGCAGUAGGGAAUCUUCCACAAUGGGCGCAAGCCUGAUGGAGCAACGCCGCGUGUGUGAUGAAGGGUUUCGGCUCGUAAAACACUGUUAUAAGAGAAGAACGGCACUGAGAGUAACUGUUCAGUGUGUGACGGUAUCUUACCAGAAAGGAACGGCUAAAUAC